This is a non-coding RNA of Vicia faba (fava bean), 270 nucleotides long. NCBI's taxonomy places the organism in Eukaryota, Viridiplantae, Streptophyta, Magnoliopsida, Fabales, Fabaceae. The record is from the annotation of a GenBank genome assembly.
AUGGUAGUUAUAGUGGUGAUGGCCGCGAUUGGAGGGUUAUCAGAUGGACUUUGUGCAUCGGUAAUGAUAGGUUUCAGUUCGUCGGUGGUUGCGGUGAUGCUGAGGUGUUGCGGUUGGAAUCGUCAUCGUGGGGGUGCACGAAAUGGUGAACACGUAGACAGAGGAAUCAUCGGAAGUGGCUUGAUGGAAUCGCGAUUGAGGGUUGAGUGCAUAAUCAUGGUGCUUAAAAGGGUGUGGUACCAGCUGACACUUCAUUUCUUUUCCCUGUAA